UUACGUGACGAAGCGCGCGGCAAAGUGGACAAUAAAGCCUGAGCGUUAAGUCAGUCGUCAGACGCCGGUUAAUCCGGCGUUUUUUU
Non-coding RNA from Escherichia coli str. K-12 substr. MG1655, 86 nucleotides. NCBI's taxonomy places the organism in Bacteria, Pseudomonadati, Pseudomonadota, Gammaproteobacteria, Enterobacterales, Enterobacteriaceae. The record is from Rfam.